This is a small nucleolar RNA of Nannospalax galili (Upper Galilee mountains blind mole rat), 126 nucleotides long. Lineage: Eukaryota; Metazoa; Chordata; Mammalia; Rodentia; Spalacidae. The record is from Ensembl.
AAGCGACACUCUGUGGCAGAUUAACAAAACUACCUGACACAAUUUGAGCUUGCUAUAGCAAGAAAAUCUAAUCCAUUCUGGUAUUCUCCUCCCCAUGAGAGGGCCCAUUAUAUAGCCGCAAAUAAU